RNAcentral lists this ribosomal RNA (497 nucleotides) under uncultured bacterium. Its description in RNAcentral is "partial 16S ribosomal RNA". It matches the Rfam family "Bacterial small subunit ribosomal RNA", at positions 28 to 507 of the family's 1533-position model. The record is from RNAcentral.
GACGAACGCUGGCGGCGUGCCUAAUACAUGCAAGUAGAACGCUGAAACUUGGUGCUUGCACCGAGCGGAUGAGUUGCGAACGGGUGAGUAACGCGUAGGUAACCUGCCUGGUAGCGGGGGAUAACUAUUGGAAACGAUAGCUAAUACCGCAUAAGAGUAGAUGUUGCAUGACAUUUGCUUAAAAGGUGCAAUUGCACCACUACCAGAUGGACCUGCGUUGUAUUAGCUAGUUGGUGGGGUAACGGCUCACCAAGGCGACGAUACAUAGCCGACCUGAGAGGGUGAUCGGCCACACUGGGACUGAGACACGGCCCAGACUCCUACGGGAGGCAGCAGUAGGGAAACUUCGGCAAGGGACGGAAGUCUGACCGAGCAACGCCGCGUGAGUGAAGAAGGUUUUCGGAUCGUAAAGCUCUGUUGUAAGAGAAGAACGAGUGUGAGAGUGGAAAGUUCACACUGUGACGGUAUCUUACCAGAAAGGGACGGCUAACUACGUG